RNAcentral lists this ribosomal RNA (566 nucleotides) under Pristimantis museosus. Its description in RNAcentral is "partial 16S ribosomal RNA". It matches the Rfam family "Bacterial large subunit ribosomal RNA", at positions 1816 to 2598 of the family's 2925-position model. Lineage: Eukaryota; Metazoa; Chordata; Amphibia; Anura; Strabomantidae. The record is from RNAcentral.
CACCUCUUGUCCCCAUAAGAGGCCUAGCCUGCCCAGUGAUCUCAUUCAACGGCCGCGGUAUCCUAACCGUGCGAAGGUAGCGUAAUCACUUGUCUCCUAAAUAGAGACUAGUAUGAAAGGCAUCACGAGGUUUAUACUGUCUCCUUUCUCUAAUCAGUGAACCUAAUCCCCCCGUGAAGAAGCGGGGAUAUUUUUAUAAGACGAGAAGACCCUAUGGAGCUUAAAACAGUUCUACACGUGCCACACCACUUCCUCAACUACGGUUCUACCCCCCCCCGCACGCUGAUUACAUGUUUUUGGUUGGGGUGACCGCGGAGAAUAAAUCAUCCUCCACGAUGAAAGUGGUUCUCUCCACUAAAUAACAAGCCACAACUUUAUCCAUCAACACAUUGACAUAAUUUGACCCAAUAAAUUUGAUCAACGAACCAAGUUACCCUAGGGAUAACAGCGCAAUCCACUUCGAGAGCUCAUAUCGACAAGUGGGCUUACGACCUCGAUGUUGGAUCAGGGUAUCCCAGUGGUGUAGCCGCUACUAAAGGUUCGUUUGUUCAACGAUUAAAACCCUA